GAUGAACGCUGGCGGCGUGCCUAAUACAUGCAAGUCGAGCGAACAGAUGGAGCUUGCUCCUCUGACGUUAGCGGCGGACGGGUGAGUAACACGUGGAUAACCUACCUAUAAGACUGGGAUAACUUCGGGAAACCGGAGCUAAUACCGGAUAAUAUAUUGAACCGCAUGGUUCAAUAGUGAAAGACGGUUUUGCUGUCACUUAUAGAUGGAUCCGCGCCGCAUUAGCUAGUUGGUAAGGUAACGGCUUACCAAGGCAACGAUGCGUAGCCGACCUGAGAGGGUGAUCGGCCACACUGGAACUGAGACACGGUCCAGACUCCUACGGGAGGCAGCAGUAGGGAAUCUUCCGCAAUGGGCGAAAGCCUGACGGAGCAACGCCGCGUGAGUGAUGAAGGUCUUCGGAUCGUAAAACUCUGUUAUUAGGGAAGAACAAAUGUGUAAGUAACUAUGCACGUCUUGACGGUACCUAAUCAGAAAGCCACGGCUAACUACGUG
This 495-nucleotide ribosomal RNA is filed under the name uncultured bacterium. Its description in RNAcentral is "partial 16S ribosomal RNA". It matches the Rfam family "Bacterial small subunit ribosomal RNA", at positions 28 to 507 of the family's 1533-position model. The record is from RNAcentral.